This 274-nucleotide ribosomal RNA is filed under the name uncultured bacterium. RNAcentral describes it as "partial 16S ribosomal RNA". It matches the Rfam family "Bacterial small subunit ribosomal RNA", at positions 523 to 796 of the family's 1533-position model. The record is from RNAcentral.
AUACGGAGGGUGCGAGCGUUGUUCGGAAUUACUGGGCGUAAAGGGCGCGUAGGCGGCGAUGUAAGUCAAAUGUGAAAGUCCUCGGCUUAACCGGGGAAGUGCAUCUGAAACUGCAUUGCUUGAGUAUGGGAGAGGAAAGUGGAAUUCCCGGUGUAGAGGUGAAAUUCGUAGAGAUCGGGAGGAAUACCGGUGGCGAAGGCGACUUUCUGGACCAAUACUGACGCUGAGGCGCGAAAGCGUGGGGAGCAAACAGGAUUAGAAACCCUAGUAGUCC